This 30-nucleotide non-coding RNA is filed under the name Mus musculus (house mouse). Lineage: Eukaryota; Metazoa; Chordata; Mammalia; Rodentia; Muridae. The record is from RNAcentral.
UACCAGAACACAUUAGAAAGCCUGUAUUAU